Molecule: long non-coding RNA, 1102 nt
Filed under: Castor canadensis (American beaver)
Lineage: Eukaryota; Metazoa; Chordata; Mammalia; Rodentia; Castoridae
Description: lncRNA (ENSCCNG00000015620.1)
Source: RNAcentral
UUGUCAUAAUCCACAUCAGUUUUAGAGUUAUAUACAGGUUUGAAUUUCUCUGUUCAAGGAAUGUUAGAUUCUUUCCUCUCCUCCUUUCCCUUCUUCCUUUCUAUAAUUCUCACUAUGAAAAUUUUUUUCUUGAGAAGUUUUUUCUUUAUCUCUACUGUGGCUCUCACUUUUUUCUAAUUAAUAGCCGAAUUAAAUACAAUUAACAACGUAGUACUCAUACUAAGUAAAACCCUACUCCCUUUUAAUCCUUAUACAGAAUGGGACUUGACAAAUGUGAUUUAUUUUGAAUAAGCAAUGAUAAGAAUUUUCACUUAAAAAUUAAGGAUGCACUUCAAUUUCAUUUCAUUGAGCAAAUGAACAAUAGAAUGUUGGAAUAAUUAGGCCGCUUUUGCCAACUCUAUAGAACAACUGUUACUUAGGUGACAUGUUUCCCUGACUUUGUUUUUUUGGUCCUUACCCAGACAAUUAUCAGCUUUCCAGUUUUCUAUGGAUAUGAAGAUUUACUCCUAGUCAUCAGUGGGACCCCAUGAAGUCAGCCAGAAAGCCUAUAUCCAACUUAUGUACCUUUGUAAAUUUGUCUGGAUUUUGAAUGUCAGGAAAAAAGCAGAAAAAUGGGAGAAAAUAUAUUGCCCAAAAAUUAAGACAACGUGUACCUCUUUGCAGUUACAUCUAGAAAGUUGGUUGGAGUCUGAAGUCAUAUUUAGAUAUGAGUUGGGAAUGAAGCACUAAAGCAUUGGGUAAGAAUACUAAAUCUGUAGGCUUUUUUCUUUCAUAAUUAAAAUUCAUACCCAGGAUGAAGUUUCGAUUGGUACACAAUUAAAACUAUACGUUUUACAUAUAAACAAAGGUUAAAAGCUAUAGGAUAGAACUUGUGUUUUCUCCAUUUACUUUAUAAAUUUUGUUUGCAUUGGAUUUUUUUCCAAGUAGCCUAUCAUGCAAAUUACCAUGGCAUCUUACCCUGACCACCAGUAAUUGAACUCUUAGUUUUUCCUUCAGAAAAUAGCACGAAUUAAACAGCUCUGUCAAAUAUGGGUCUGUAGCUUGUUUACAGAUGAAUAGUGACUUUUCACGUAAAUCUAUGUAGUUGUCAUUAACUCUUUUU